ACACUAACUAUCGUAGGCCGAUGGGAAGCAAGUCGUCGGACCGCUCCGAUGCCGUCGAAUUCCUUUCCAUCGUGCGGUUCUAUAAUUGCAUUGUCCCCCACAAAAAAAAAAACUGCUCUGUCAGACCCACGUUGCACCUAUCUAAAUCCAAAUUCCAAAAUAUCCAGCAUCCUCCACCAGAUCGAGAUCUAUUGCUAAGCCCCUCCGCUCUCCGCCAUGAUUAUGCUAAUCCCCACAGCUCCACGGAUCUGCCCACCGCGCCCUCCAAUUUUGGUCGUGAUCUGCGCCUAGACCUGGAAAUACUUCGGCGACUGAAGACAUGCCGUGCCGAUGCGGAAAACCGUGUUCGGGGUAUCCGGCUUGUCAGUUCGUCGUGGUUGCAGCGGCUAUCGAGCACAUCUCAGGUCGUCAGUAGCAGUGGUUUCCAUCCUCUGGCUACAACUUGAGCACGAGAUUACGUUGGUCAAUGUUUCUUGUGUGAAGCACCACCAGUGGGGUGAGCGGCUUCUUCACGCUAUUGGAAGAAGACCAAUGUGCUAGUCCUAGUACCUCAGAGCCAUAGGUCGCUGCUGCAGGUCAUCGACGAGCCUCUUAUGUUCCUGUUGAUACGCAUGUUCCAUCGCUAUGAGAGGUGGACAACAGGCAUUGUGCUAGACGACACAUACCCUGUGACUGAUUCUUAAUAUA
Lolium perenne is the source of this 687-nucleotide long non-coding RNA. RefSeq lists it as uncharacterized. Lineage: Eukaryota; Viridiplantae; Streptophyta; Magnoliopsida; Poales; Poaceae. The record is from RefSeq and is a predicted model, not a curated record.